AAGGUGCGCUCAGACCGGUCGGAAAUCGGUCGUAGAGUAUAAAGGCAAAAGCGCGCUUGACUGCGAGACAGACACGUCGAGCAGGUACGAAAGUAGGUCUUAGUGAUCCGGUGGUUCUGUAUGGAAGGGCCAUCGCUCAACGGAUAAAAGGUACUCCGGGGAUAACAGGCUGAUACCGCCCAAGAGUUCAUAUCGACGGCGGUGUUUGGCACCUCGAUGUCGGCUCAUCACAUCCUGGGGCUGAAGCCGGUCCCAAGGGUAUGGCUGUUCGCCAUUUAAAGUGGUACGCGAGCUGGGUUUAGAACGUCGUGAGACAGUUCGGUCCCUAUCUGCCGUGGACGUUUGAGAUUUGAGAGGGGCUGCUCCUAGUACGAGAGGACCGGAGUGGACGAACCUCUGGUGUUCCGGUUGUCACGCCAGUGGCAUUGCCGGGUAGCUAUGUUCGGAAAAGAUAACCGCUGAAAGCAUCUAAGCGGGAAACUUGCCUCAAGAUGAGAUCUCACUGGAACCUUGAGUUCCCU
RNAcentral lists this ribosomal RNA (521 nucleotides) under Pseudomonas sp. RW409. RNAcentral's name for it is "bacterial LSU rRNA". It matches the Rfam family "Bacterial large subunit ribosomal RNA", at positions 2313 to 2838 of the family's 2925-position model. The record is from RNAcentral. Lineage: Bacteria; Pseudomonadati; Pseudomonadota; Gammaproteobacteria; Pseudomonadales; Pseudomonadaceae.